Molecule: small RNA, 558 nt
Filed under: Pongo abelii (Sumatran orangutan)
Lineage: Eukaryota; Metazoa; Chordata; Mammalia; Primates; Hominidae
Description: retained intron
Source: RNAcentral
CUUUUUCAACCAGAGAAUCCUGGUCAAGCCCUGAACAGUCCAGAAACUCUGAGACGGCCCACCUGAGGAUAUCGACCCUAAGGACUCAUAUCUCAUUACAAGAAGCAUCAUGGCCGAGCCAGACUACAUAGAAGAUGACAAUCCUGAACUUAUUAGGCCUCAGAAACUGAUCAAUCCUGUCAAAACCUCCCGGAACCAUCAAGAUCUUCACAGAGAACUUCUUAUGAAUCAAAAAAGGGGUCUUGCUCCUCAGAACAAACCAGAAUUGCAGAAGGUGAUGGAAAAAAGAAAACGAGACCAAGUAAUAAAGCAGAAGGAAGAAGAAGCACAGAAGAAGAAAUCCGACUUGGAAAUAGAGCUAUUAAAACGGCAGCAGAAGUUGGAGCAGCUUGAACUUGAGAAGCAGAAAUUGCAAGAAGAGCAAGAAAAUGCCCCCGAGUUUGUGAAGGUGAAAGGCAAUCUUAGGAGAACAGGCCAAGAAGUCGCCCAAGCCCAGGAGUCCUAGGCCGAGGCUGCACCAAGACCUCGUGUGUCACCCCACAGAGCUGUCUGUGGGUG